UGUUCAUGAAUGCAGGGGAUCUUCUAGCCAUCAGCGAUUGAUGGAGCCGAGGUGCGUUAGGUAGGUGGUGAGGUAAAGGGUCAACAAGGCAGAGGUGCGUUGCCGACUUGAAGGGGUGGUUCAGCCCCACGGGACUGAAGCCCCGCUCCGAAUUCUUACGGAGGCAGCCGUAGGGGAUUAUCCGCCAAUGGCGACAGUCCGAAUCAGCACCUCCGGCUGAGUGAAGAAGGUCUUUGGGUUGUUAAAGUCUGUUGGUAGGGAAGAACAUCCACCGUUCUAAUAGGGCGGUACGAUGACGGUACCCAACCAGUAAGCCCCGGCUAACUUCGUGCCAGCAGCCGCGGUAAUACGUAGGUGGCAAGCGUUGUUCGGAAUUACUGGGCGUAAAGCGCGCGCAGGUGGUUUCUUAAGUCCGAUGUGAAAGCCCCCGGCUCAACCGGGAAGGGUCAUGGAAACUGGGGAACUAGAGUGCAGAAGAGGAGAGUGGAAUUCCACGUGUAGCAGUGAAAUGCGUAGAGAUCAGGAGGAACACCCAUGGCGAAGGCGACUAUCUGGUCCAUCACUGACGCUGAGGCGCGAAAGCGUGGGGAGCAAACAGGAUUAGAUACCCUGGUAGUCCACGCCGUAAACGAUGAGAACUGGAUGUUGGAUGCAUCCGCCACGCAGUAUUGAAGCAAACGCAUUAAGCACGCCGCAUGGAGACGACGU
Molecule: ribosomal RNA, 708 nt
Filed under: Bacillus sp. (in: firmicutes)
Lineage: Bacteria; Bacillati; Bacillota; Bacilli; Caryophanales; Bacillaceae
Description: bacterial SSU rRNA
Rfam family: Bacterial small subunit ribosomal RNA
Source: RNAcentral